RNAcentral lists this long non-coding RNA (2662 nucleotides) under Homo sapiens (human). Its description in RNAcentral is "LHRI_LNC266.6". Lineage: Eukaryota; Metazoa; Chordata; Mammalia; Primates; Hominidae. The record is from RNAcentral.
CUUUUCGAGGUCGGCCGCGUGGCUGGAAGACAUGGCCACUCCAGUCGGUGUUGAGCACGGCGAGCAGUCUCAGGCCUUUAGUGAUGAUGAGGCCUUUCUUUGUUUGGCAUCUGCAGAGACGGUGAAAAGCAGAGCUCCAGGUUGAAGGAUCAGAGUAAUAGAUGGAGCCCUUAACAUGAGUAAGAGUGGGUGCAGGCAGGGCCUGAGUGGUCACUAGAAAUGAGAAAGCACAGUUGGUGCCAUCACAUACAUUCACCUCCUGCUUUAUUCUGAAGUUCAAGUAUGAGAAUACGUGUUGACAUACAAGCCAGCUAUGAUUAAAGGUGGUGGCUGUGGCCUUGAAAACAGUCAUGUGAAAACUCAUCACCUUAAGGUGUUAAGUGUAAGGAUCUUCAUGAUGAAAUUUCUGUAAAUGGUGCAGUCAGCCUCAGUUUCCAAAGCCGGAAAAGGAUCCUCUAGUAGCCACGGUGUGGCAGCUGCUCUGAACCAGGACCUGGACCCGGACCCAAAGUGCCAUGUCUUUAAUGUUAGCUCCCAGCGAUGCCAGAUGGGAUCAGCACAGCCCUGCCUCUGCUGCUAAUUGUUCCUCUAAAGUAAUCGCCAUGCGUUCUUUGGGCUUCAUCUUUAAAGGAAUGAAGCAACUGAGAUUAUUCUGGAAAACCUUUUGGCAGUUAGUGAAAUUAGAGUACAACUAAGAACAUUUUCAGACCUCCACUGUGGAUGACCUGGGUAUAAUCUCACAAAUCGAUGGGACUGCAAGGAUUGUAAACUGAAAUGAACAUGAUUAUACUCUGUUGGAAGAGCCUAAGAGGAAACUGAUGCCAUGAGUUUCAGAGAGUAAUGCUUAACCCCAGUUACACAGGAUGCCGUCUUGUGUUUCCUCUUGUUUAGUUACCCACUACAGUGAUUUUGUGAUCUGCUAAUGGGUUGCCACCCACAACCAUUGCUUUAGCACUUUUACUUCAAAUCAAUGAAGGAUUGAUAAAAGUUCUCCUGGUGUCUCCGCAGAGUGCCUUCCAGGAACAGAUCUUUGCAUAGAAUAUCAGUGGUUUCCUUUUUUGUUUCAAAUAGUGGUCAGAAAAUACCCAGUGUUGACUCACCAAGGCAAUCAGCUUCCUUUUUCCCUUUUUUUGUUUUUUUUUUAACAUUUUAUAUUUUUGCUUUAUUUUAUUUUAUUUUAUUUUUUGAGACGGAGUUCCACUCUGUCGCCAGGCUGGAGUGAAGUGGUACAAUCUUGGCUCACUGCAACCUCCACCUCCCGGGUUCAAGCAAUUCUCCUGGCUCAGCCUCCUGAGUGCUGGGACUACAGGCGCGUACCUUCUUUAGUAGAGACUGGGUUUCACCAUGUUGGCCAGGAUGGUCUCUAUCUCCUGACCUUGUGAUCUGCCUGCCUCAGCUUCCCAAAGUGCUGAGAUGACAGGUGUGAGCCAUCAGACCCAGCAUUUUUUUUUUUAAUUUAAAUUUAAAUUUUUUUUCAUUUUUUUGAGAGGUUUUUUUUGUUUUGUUUUGUUGUUGUUGUUGUUGUUGUUUUUGAGACAGUCUUGCUCUGUCACCCAGGCUGGGAGUGCAGUGGCAUGAUCUCUGCAACCUCUACCUCCCAGGUUCAAGCAAUUCUUGUGCCUCAGCCUCCCAAGUAACUGGGACUACAGGUGCACGCUACCACACCUGGCUGAUUUUUUUUGUUUUAGUAGAGACAGGGUUUCAACCAUGUUGCCCAGGUUGGUCUCAAACUCCUGAGCUCAGGCAAUCCACCCGCCUUGGCCUCCCAAAGUGCUAGGAUUACAGGUGUGAGCCACCACACCCAGCUAUUUUUUCUUUCGUUUUUUAAUUUUAAAGUUGGGGGGGGGUCUCAAUUUGUUACCCUGGCUGGUCUCGAACUCCCGGACUUAAGCGAUCCUCUGGCUCCAAGCCCACUACCAGUCUCAGGUUUCUUUACUAAAAGAUCACUACCUUUUUUUCUCUUAUCUGCUGCCAUGUGAGAUGUGGCUUUCACCUUCCGCCAUGAUUGUGAGGCCUUCCCAGCCAUGUAGAACUGUAAGUCCAAUAAACCUCUUUUGUAAAUUAAAAAAAAAAAAUCACUAUUUAAGAUACUAGGAUGGAUUGUGACUGUUGAGGAGUACUUACAUAUCCUACAUUUGACUACAUUAUUUCCAAACCAAGUAUUCCAUCCAAAGGAACAUACUGCUAUCAUAGAGACCAAGGAGGGACUGUUUAAGGUUGCCAAGGUGAAGCGAGCUGAGAGGCUUUGUCCUCGUGCCAGUAACUCUGAAAUCUCUCUUAAUUCCUGCUGUCCAGGCAGCAGAAUGCCAUGGUUUCCCCAAGUAGGUAGCUGCUUUAGCAGUUAAAGCCCAAAUGUCUGUUCUGUUGAUCAGAGGUCUCUGAAUUUCUGAAGUGGUGUUUCGUUUCUGGUGACUGAGUUAAUCCUUUACAAUCCCUCUUGUAAAGUGUGCUAAUAGAAAGAAUCCACCUUUCAAAGCUGCAGAACCAGACCGUGCCCUAAAUUGACCAACGUAACUGAUGUGCCUCAGGAAGUCUCUUGCCAGCUGUCCCUGUGAAGACCCCCCUCCUCCCCCCCAGCUGCUGCCUUGCACACUGAAGCAUCUCAGACUGUGCAAAGCCGUGUAGUCAUCAAGACAGUAAAUCCCAGGGCUUGGUUAAGUGC